Apteryx owenii (little spotted kiwi) is the source of this 2324-nucleotide long non-coding RNA. The record is from Ensembl. NCBI's taxonomy places the organism in Eukaryota, Metazoa, Chordata, Aves, Apterygiformes, Apterygidae.
GUUCUUCAAAGAGAGAAAAUAAUCCUUGAGGAAAAGCUGAAAAGAGCUUUACAGGAAGCUGAAAAUGCUAAUAAGCAACUUACAAACUUAGCAACAUCUGUCCCUGUUCAAGACACAGAAAUUGUUCAAGAUGCACCCACCAGUUACAAAAAUGCAGAAAAGGAUAAAAAUAAUGAUUCUGACAUUGAUAUGAAAAAAUAUGCUAAAGAUGCAUCUAAGAAGGGCCAAAAAUCAACUAAAACUGAAGGCAGCAGGGAAGAUCAUAUAGUGUCACCAUCCAAGUCCAUUAGUGAAGCUGAUGAAUUAGUACACAAAUUGCUAGCAAAGAACCAAGUGAAACAAGGAAUAAGGAAAAGUCCCGGAGAAAUGGAGGAAACUGAAGAAAUUGCAACACUGUCUCAAAAGAAGGAUGUUAAACUAGGAAAAAAAGGAUUAACAGAGGGAAAGAAGUCUGAAGAUCAUGGUGUUUCAGCAAGCAAGCUAAAAGAAAAAUACCUUUUUCAGGAGCAAGGAGAGUCAUAUAAACCUAAAGAAUUACUUUCUAGCAUGGAAGAGACUCCAAGACUUCCUGCUUAUCCAUCUGGACAGGAAAACAUGCAGUAUUCUUCUAAACAUGCUGAUGAGAAGCCAACAUCACUGUUAUCUGAUAAAACCCAGCAAAUGUCAACAGCAACCAGAGCAAACAGAAAAUCAGAGUCUCCUUUGAAAUUUGACCCCAAAGGACUGGUUACAGCUAAGAAAACGACAGAAGCAAAUGAAGGAGUUUCCCUGGAUAACAGCACAGGGGAGGAUGCAUGUGGCACCACCGAUUCAGAUUUUGUGAACCUUCCAGAAAUCCGAGGAGAGUCAGAGUCACAUUUCUCCUUAAACUGUCAAGAACAAUUAUGGCCCAAACCUUUAAAUGUACACGAAGAUUCACCCCAACUAAUCUCAGAAAGACAGAAGACUGCUAUGUCUGCUAAACCCAGUAUCCGAGGACAAGAUUGUUCUUUACCAUUGUAUGAAAACGAUAUGUUACCAUCAGUUUUACCUUCCAAAUAUCAAGAUGUGGCUCCUCUUAAAAGCUCCCUGACCAAUCAUAAAACAUCUUCUGAAUCUCAGAGUGCUGAAGAAGUUUCUCUUUUCUCUAUUGAAAAGAUACCCACUUCGGAGAUCCAGCAAAAAAUGCCUGCCGUUAUUACUCAAGAAGAUAAAAAGGCGCCUAUGCCAGUUCUUCCUGUCACACACACGACAAACGUAACUUUGGAAACUCACUCACCUGAGGGAGAAAAUCUUCCAUGGACUCAAAAAGAAGAAGUAGAUGUUAAAGAAAGACUUCCAUUAAUAACUCAAAUGAAUAAAAUGCAACAAGCAUCAACACUUUCACUGGCAGAAGCUGGUGUGAACACUGGGAAGAAAACAAUUGAGCUUUUGCACAGUAUGCUUGCUAAGCUGUCACCAGGUGUAGAAGAUCUGCAAGACAUAGAAGCUUUUGAAGACAGUGAAAUAGACAGCAUUACUGAGGAUAGAUUAAAUAAGCUACCAAAACUUCUUGGAAGCUUGGAGUCAAAUCUGAAAGACCUGCAGGAAGCACUGGCUCUGACAGAUGACCAAACAAGCAAUGUAAGUGAGGACAGACUGAAGGAAUUAAUCAACCAAAAAAAUAUUUUGCUGUCAAGUCUGGAAAAAAAUUCACAAGAUUUGCAACAAGCACAGGCUAUUGUAGUAGACCAAGACGACAAAUACAGAUUUUAUGAGAAAAAAAUGCAGGACCUAACAGAAAAAAGAAAGCUUUUGCUUACCAGCCUGGAAUCGAAUUGGAGAGAUUUGCAACAGACUCAGGCUCUGGAUGCCAGCCAACUUCAUGACAUGAAUGAUAAUUGCUUUGGCAGCAAUUCUGAUUUUUUUGAAAGAAAAUCAGAGGUGACUGGAAAACAGCCUCUAAAUAGUAGAACUUUGCAGCUAGAAUGUAUUCUUUCAGCACUUCCACUUGAUCAAGACAGAAGCUUUGCACCUGCAGAGCCAACUUACAACAGCGAAACCACAUCACCUAUUCAUCAAUUGAUGCCAAGCAGAGUUGUAUCCAGUAUACAUUUUGACUUUUCUACACUUCCAGCCUUAGUACCAGGAGACUUUGAUGCCUCAACUCCUUAUCAGACAGAAUGGGGAGCACUGUUUAUUUCUGGGAAGAGUUACCCUUUGCUGAGCUCAAAGAGUCAAGAAGCAAAAAGGAGGUGAAACAUCUCUGAUGAUAAAAUUCUCUCAUAUUCCUCUUAUUAGAAUAGUUGUGAUGGUAAACUUACAGCAUUAAUAAAAAUACCACUCUGUCACUCUCUUAUAGCCUG